CCUUAGUUACCAGCACGUAAUGGUGGGCACUCUAAGGAGACUGCCGGUGACAAACCGGAGGAAGGUGGGGAUGACGUCAAGUCAUCAUGGCCCUUACGGCCUGGGCUACACACGUGCUACAAUGGUCGGUACAGAGGGUUGCCAAGCCGCGAGGUGGAGCUAAUCCCAGAAAACCGAUCGUAGUCCGGAUCGCAGUCUGCAACUCGACUGCGUGAAGUCGGAAUCGC
RNAcentral lists this ribosomal RNA (227 nucleotides) under Aureoumbra lagunensis. RNAcentral describes it as "partial Bacterial small subunit ribosomal RNA". It matches the Rfam family "Bacterial small subunit ribosomal RNA", at positions 1109 to 1335 of the family's 1533-position model. Lineage: Eukaryota; Pelagophyceae; Sarcinochrysidales; Sarcinochrysidaceae. The record is from RNAcentral.